GCGCACUUAGAUCAAAUGGUAAGAGCAUCACUCUUGAAAGUUGAGGUUGUGGGUUCAAUUCCCACAGUGCACA
RNAcentral lists this transfer RNA (73 nucleotides) under Phakopsora pachyrhizi. RNAcentral's name for it is "tRNA-Ser". It matches the Rfam family "tRNA". From Rfam's summary of the family: Transfer RNA (tRNA) molecules are approximately 80 nucleotides in length. Their secondary structure includes four short double-helical elements and three loops (D, anti-codon, and T loops). Further hydrogen bonds mediate the characteristic L-shaped molecular structure. tRNAs have two regions of fundamental functional importance: the anti-codon, which is responsible for specific mRNA codon recognition, and the 3' end, to which the tRNAs corresponding amino acid is attached (by aminoacyl-tRNA synthetases). tRNAs cope with the degeneracy of the genetic code in two manners: having more than one tRNA (with a specific anti-codon) for a particular amino acid; and 'wobble' base-pairing, i.e. permitting non-standard base-pairing at the 3rd anti-codon position. The record is from RNAcentral. Lineage: Eukaryota; Fungi; Basidiomycota; Pucciniomycetes; Pucciniales; Phakopsoraceae.